UGGGUUGGUUGUCCUCAUAAUCAAAGAGUGUGGAGACACUGGUAUGGCAUACAGGUGAGAUGUAAUGGUACAUCUGCACUGAACGUGACCAACUCUGGAGCUAUUUCUGCUAUCAAGAUUUGCUCCGAUGGGAUAUGGGUAUAAAUGUCCCUCCGACCUGAGACCGCCACGGUGACUUGCAAGCAACUCACUGCACUUAGGCACUGGACUANN
This 213-nucleotide long non-coding RNA is filed under the name Elaeis guineensis (African oil palm). RNAcentral's name for it is "long non-coding RNA (EGUI_LNC054988)". Lineage: Eukaryota; Viridiplantae; Streptophyta; Magnoliopsida; Arecales; Arecaceae. The record is from RNAcentral.